RNAcentral lists this unclassified non-coding RNA (336 nucleotides) under soil metagenome. Its description in RNAcentral is "partial contains 5.8S ribosomal RNA, internal transcribed spacer 2, and large subunit ribosomal RNA". The stretch from base 1 to 120 matches the Rfam family "5.8S ribosomal RNA", at positions 35 to 154 of the family's 154-position model. The record is from RNAcentral.
GAUGAAGAAAGCAGCGAAAUGCGAUAAGUGAUGUGAAUUGCAGAAUUCAGUGAAUCAUCGAAUCUUUGAACGCACAUUGCGCCCGCCAGUAUUCUGGCGGGCAUGCCUGUUCGAUCGUCAUUUCAACCAUCAAGCCCCAGGCUUGUGUUGGGGACCUGCGGCUGCCGCAGGCCCUGAAAACCAGUGGCGGGCUCGCUGUCACACCGGGCGUAGUAGAUUUUAUCUCGCUCUGGGCGUGCUGCGGGUUCCGGCCGUUAAAAAACCCUUUUAACCCAAGGUUGACCUCGGAUCAGGUAGGAAUACCCGCUGAACUUAAGCAUAUCAAUAAGCGGAGGA